This is a non-coding RNA of Mycena leptocephala, 93 nucleotides long. Lineage: Eukaryota; Fungi; Basidiomycota; Agaricomycetes; Agaricales; Mycenaceae. The record is from the annotation of a GenBank genome assembly.
GCCUCCGUAGAUUAGCGGUAAAUCACCUCAGCUUUAUAGUUCAGAGCUAUCAAGAUACAUGAGGGGUCGUGGGUUCGAAUCCCACCGGAGGCA